CACGUAGGGCGCAAGCGUUGUCCGGAAUUAUUGGGCGUAAAGAGCUCGUAGGCGGUCUGUUGCGUCCGCUGUGAAAACUCGGGGCUUAACCCCGAGCCUGCAGUGGAUACGGGCGGACUAGAGGUAGGUAGGGGAGAAUGGAAUUCCCGGUGUAGCGGUGAAAUGCGCAGAUAUCGGGAGGAACACCGGUGGCGAAGGCGGUUCUCUGGGCCUUACCUGACGCUGAGGCGCGAAAGCUAGGGUAGCAAACGGG
This 253-nucleotide ribosomal RNA is filed under the name uncultured bacterium. RNAcentral's name for it is "partial 16S ribosomal RNA". It matches the Rfam family "Bacterial small subunit ribosomal RNA", at positions 524 to 776 of the family's 1533-position model. The record is from RNAcentral.